GGCUGCUGGCAGGGAGUUAGCCGGUGCCUCUUCUGCGAGUAACGUCAAUCAGCAAGGUUAUUAACCUUACUGCCUUCCUCCUCGCUGAAAGUGCUUUACAACCCGAAGGCCUUCUUCACACACGCGGCAUGGCUGCAUACAGUUGCGCCCAUUGUGCAAUAUUCCCCACUGCUGCCUCCCGUAGGAG
This 187-nucleotide ribosomal RNA is filed under the name uncultured insect microflora 8. RNAcentral describes it as "partial 16S ribosomal RNA". The record is from RNAcentral.